GAGCGUAUCGGGGGCUUGCCCCCCGGNAGAGCGGCGGAUUGGUGAGUAACGCGUGGUGACCUGCCUUGAGGCUGGGGAUAGCCGCUAGAAAUAUCGGGUAAUACNGAAUACGACCGCCGGACUAUGGUNUGGNGAGGAAAGGGGCUUUGGCCCCGCCUUGAGAUGGGCCCGCGUCCUAUUAGGCAGUUGGCGGGGUAAGAGCCCACCAAACCGAAGAUAGGUAGCCGGCCUGAGAGGGUGACCGGCCACAUUGGGACUGAGAUACGGCCUAAANUCNUACGGGAGGCAGCAGCUAAGAAUAUUCCGCAAUGGACGAAAGUCUGACGGAGCGACGCCGCGUGGAUGACGAAGGCCGGAAGGUUGUAAAAUCCUUUUGCCGCUGAAGAAUAAGCGGGGUAGGGAAUGACCCCGUGAUGACGUUAGNUG
Molecule: ribosomal RNA, 426 nt
Filed under: uncultured Treponema clone CFS199p
Lineage: Bacteria; Pseudomonadati; Spirochaetota; Spirochaetia; Treponematales; Treponemataceae
Description: bacterial SSU rRNA
Rfam family: Bacterial small subunit ribosomal RNA
Source: RNAcentral